RNAcentral lists this ribosomal RNA (253 nucleotides) under uncultured bacterium. RNAcentral describes it as "partial 16S ribosomal RNA". It matches the Rfam family "Bacterial small subunit ribosomal RNA", at positions 524 to 776 of the family's 1533-position model. The record is from RNAcentral.
UACGUAGGGUGCAAGCGUUAAUCGGAAUUACUGGGCGUAAAGCGUGCGCAGGCGGUUGUGCAAGACCGAUGUGAAAUCCCCGGGCUUAACCUGGGAAUGGCAUUGGUGACUGCACGGCUAGAGUGUGUCAGAGGGGGGUAGAAUUCCACGUGUAGCAUUGAAAUGCGUAGAGAUGUGGAGGAACACCGGUGGCGAAGGCGGCAUCCUGGACCGACACUGACACUGAGGAGCGAAAGCCAGGGGAGCAAACGGG